AUUAAAUACAUGCUCUGUUUACUUCCCUGUGCCAAGAAGGGAAGAAAGAAACGUAAUCUUUUGGAACUCUGGAGAUGGCCUUGCGGAACCUCAUUCAUGCCUAGCUUGCUGCAAGUGAAGUCUGAAACUCUCCUAAAAGAUCCCUUUGGAAAGUUUUCUGCAUGCUCGAGUGCCCUAAGCCAUGAUGACAUGGGCUACUUUUGUUUGCUUCUCUGCAAGCAUUAAGAGCUUUCCUGGAGUGACCUGAAUGGGUGUCACAUGCA
Molecule: long non-coding RNA, 263 nt
Organism: Hemicordylus capensis (graceful crag lizard)
Lineage: Eukaryota; Metazoa; Chordata; Lepidosauria; Squamata; Cordylidae
Exons: 3
Source: RefSeq, a predicted model, not a curated record